Molecule: ribosomal RNA, 350 nt
Filed under: uncultured bacterium
Lineage: Bacteria
Description: bacterial SSU rRNA
Rfam family: Bacterial small subunit ribosomal RNA
Source: RNAcentral
ACGAACGCUGGCGGUAUGCUUAACACAUGCAAGUCGAACGGACUUAUUGGGGCUUGCUCCAAUAAGUUAGUGGCAAACGGGUGAGUAACGCGUGGGAAUCUGCCCAUCAGUACGGAACAACAUUUGGAAACAGAUGCUAAUACCGUAUAUCCUCUGAGGAGGAAAGAUUUAUCGCUGAUGGAUGAGCCCGCGUUAGAUUAGGUAGUUGGUAGGGUAAUGGCCUACCAAGCCUACGAUCUAUAGCUGGUCUGAGAGGAUGAUCAGCGACACUGGGACUGAGACACGGCCCAGACUCCUACGGGAGGCAGCAGUGGGGAAUAUUGGACAAUGGGCGAAAGCCUGAACCAGCA